This 370-nucleotide ribosomal RNA is filed under the name Chaetoceros curvisetus. Its description in RNAcentral is "partial Bacterial large subunit ribosomal RNA". It matches the Rfam family "Bacterial large subunit ribosomal RNA", at positions 1305 to 1674 of the family's 2925-position model. Lineage: Eukaryota; Bacillariophyta; Thalassiosirophyceae; Chaetocerotales; Chaetocerotaceae. The record is from RNAcentral.
AGUAACGACAAUGCGAGUGAAAAACUCGCACGCUGAAAGACCAAGGGUUCCAGUCCAACGUUAAUCGGGGCUGGGUGAGUCGACCCCUAAGGCGAGGCCGAGAGGCGUAGUCGAUGGGAAAUUGGUUAAUAUUCCAAUACUUCUAUGUAAUGCGAUGAGAGGACGGAGAAGGUUAAGUCAGCCUGGCGUUGGUUGUCCAGGUGGAAGGUUGUAGGCAUGUAUCUUAGGCAAAUCCGGGGUACUCUAUGCUGAGAACUGAUAGCAAGCUGUACUUGUACAGCGAAGUGGCAAAUACCCUGCUUCCAGGAAAAGCUUCUAAGCGAUAGUCAUAAAGAAAUCGUACCCUAAACCGACACAGGUGGUCAGGUAG